This 432-nucleotide ribosomal RNA is filed under the name Carapoia sp. Br15-62. Its description in RNAcentral is "partial 16S ribosomal RNA". It matches the Rfam family "Archaeal large subunit ribosomal RNA", at positions 1921 to 2666 of the family's 2987-position model. Lineage: Eukaryota; Metazoa; Arthropoda; Arachnida; Araneae; Pholcidae. The record is from RNAcentral.
UUCUUUAAGAGAAUUAAUUUAAAGUAAAACCUGCUCAAUGUUAAAAACAUAAAUAGCCGCAGUUUACUGUGCUAAGGUAGCAUAAUAACUAGCUUUUUAAUUAAAAGAUAGAAUGAAAGGUUCAAUGAAGUAAAAAUUGUUUCUAAAUAAAAUAAAUAAUUUUAAAAAAAAGUAAAAAUUCUUUUAUGUUAAAGAAAGACGACAAGACCCUAAUAAACUUUGCAUUUAGCUGGGGCGGCGAAUAAAGAAUAACUUAACAAUUAAAUUACAAAAAUCUAUUAUAAUUAACUAAUAUCAAGUUACUAUAGGGAUAACAGCGCAAUCUUUUUUAAAAGCUCAUAUAUAAAAAAAGUCUUACGACCUCGAUGUUGAAUUAAUUUCCUCCUUAGCGCAAAAGCUAAUAAAGUUAGUCUGUUCGACUAUUAAAAAAUU